AUUCCAGCUCCAAUAGCGUAUAUUAAAGUUGUUGCGGUUAAAAAGCUCGUAGUUGGAUCUCAGUUCCGGACCGACGGUGCGCCCUCGGCGAUUUACUGUCGGUCCGAACAGCUAGUCGGCUCGCUCGGGGUGUUCUUUAUCGGGUGUCCCGCGUGGCCGGCAUGUUUACUUUGAAAAAAUUAGAGUGCUCAAAGCAGGCUAAUGCCUGAAUAGUUGUGCAUGGAAUAAUGGAAUAGGACCUCGGUUCUAUUUUGUUGGUUUUCGGAACCCGAGGUAAUGAUUAAUAGAGACGGACGGGGGCAUUCGUAUUGCGACGCUAGAGGUGAAAUUCUUGGACCGUCGCAAGACGUACUACUGCGAAAGCAUUUGCCAAGAACGUUCUCAUUAAUCAAGAACGAAAGUUAGAGGUUCGAAGGCGAUCAGAUACCGCCCUAGUUCUAACCAUUAACGAUGCUGACUAGCGAUCCGUCUGUGUUAAUCCCAUGACUAGACGGGCAGCUUCCGGGAAACCAAAGUCUUUGAGUUCCGGGGGAAGUAUGGUUGCAAAGCUGAAACUUAAAGGAAUUGACGGAAGGGCACCACCAGGAGUGGAGCCUGCGGCUUAAUUUGACUCAACACGGGAAAUCUCACCAGGCCAGGACACUAGAAGGAUUGACAGAUUGAUAGCUC
Molecule: ribosomal RNA, 669 nt
Filed under: uncultured metazoan
Lineage: Eukaryota; Metazoa
Description: SSU rRNA
Rfam family: Eukaryotic small subunit ribosomal RNA
Source: RNAcentral